RNAcentral lists this ribosomal RNA (482 nucleotides) under uncultured bacterium. RNAcentral describes it as "partial 16S ribosomal RNA". It matches the Rfam family "Bacterial small subunit ribosomal RNA", at positions 28 to 522 of the family's 1533-position model. The record is from RNAcentral.
GACGAACGCUGGCGACGUGCUUAACACAUGCAAGUCGAACGGUGAAAGCGGAGCUUGCUCCGCUGGAUCAGUGGCGAACGGGUGAGUAACACGUGGGCAACCUGCCCCUGACUUCGGGAUAACUCCUCGAAAGAGGUGCUAAUACCGGAUACGAAUCCUGCAGGCAUCAGCGGGAUUGGAAAGUUUUUCGGUCAGGGAUGGGCCCGCGGCCUAUCAGCUUGUUAGUGAGGUAGUGGCUCACCAAGGCGACGACGGGUAGCCGGCCUGAGAGGGAGAGCGGCCACACGGGGACUGAGACACGGACCAGACUCCGACGGGAGGCAGCAGUGGGGAAUAUUGCGCAAUGGGCGAAAGCCUGACGCAGCAACGCCGCGUGAGGGAUGACGGCCUUCGGGUUGUAAACCUCUUUCAGCAGGGAAGAAGCGAAAGUGACGGUACCUGCAGAAGAAGCACCGGCUAACUACGUGCCAGCAGCCGCCGUA